This 925-nucleotide ribosomal RNA is filed under the name Plasmodium inui. RNAcentral's name for it is "SSU rRNA". It matches the Rfam family "Eukaryotic small subunit ribosomal RNA", at positions 174 to 1051 of the family's 1831-position model. The record is from RNAcentral. Lineage: Eukaryota; Apicomplexa; Aconoidasida; Haemosporida; Plasmodiidae.
UUCUUGAGUGUGUACUUGUUAAGCCUUUUAAGAAAAAAGUUAUUAACUUAAGGAAUUAUAACAAAGAAGCAACACGUAAAUGGAUUUUCCAUUUUUUAGUGUGUAUCAAUCGAGUUUCUGACCUAUCAGCUUUUGAUGUUAGGGUAUUGGCCUAACAUGGCUAUGACGGGUAACGGGGAAUUAGAGUUCGAUUCCGGAGAGGGAGCCUGAGAAAUAGCUACCACAUCUAAGGAAGGCAGCAGGCGCGUAAAUUACCCAAUUCUAAAGAAGAGAGGUAGUGACAAGAAAUAACAAUACAAGGCCAAUCUGGCUUUGUAAUUGGAAUGAUGGGAAUUUAAAACCUUCCCAAAACUCAAUUGGAGGGCAAGUCUGGUGCCAGCAGCCGCGGUAAUUCCAGCUCCAAUAGCGUAUAUUAAAAUUGUUGCAGUUAAAACGCUCGUAGUUGAAUUUCAAAGAAUCGAUAUUUUAAGUAACGCUUUGUAGAUUAAUCCACAUAACUGAUACUACGUAUCGACUUUGUGCGCAUUUUUCUACUUAUGUGUUCUUUUAAUUAAAAUGAUUCUUUUUAAGAUCUUUCUUUUUUGCUUCGGCAUUUUAGGAGAUCUUGUUACUUUGAGUAAAUUAGAGUGUUCAAAGCAAACAGAUUAUAGCAUCUUUAUGCGUUUGAAUACUACAGCAUGGAAUAACAAAAUUGAACAAGUCAGAAUUUUGUUCUUUUUUCUUAUUUUGGCUUAGCUACGAUUAAUAGGAGUAGCUUGGGGGCAUUUGUAUUCAGAUGUCAGAGGUGAAAUUCUUAGAUUUUCUGGAGACAAACAACUGCGAAAGCAUUUGCCUAAAAUACUUCCAUUAAUCAAGAACGAAAGUUAAGGGAGUGAAGACGAUCAGAUACCGUCGUAAUCUUAACCAUAAACUAUGCCGACUAGGC